Molecule: transfer RNA, 66 nt
Filed under: Allacta transversa
Lineage: Eukaryota; Metazoa; Arthropoda; Insecta; Blattodea; Pseudophyllodromiidae
Description: tRNA-Leu
Source: RNAcentral
UCUAAUAUGGCAGAUAAGUGCAAUGGAUUUAAGCUCCAAUUAUAAAGUAUUGAACUUUUUUUAGAA